GGUGUGGCUCAGUGGUAGAGCACUCGCCUAGCACAUGUGAGGCACUGGGUUUGAUUCUCAGCACAACA
RNAcentral lists this transfer RNA (68 nucleotides) under Marmota monax (woodchuck). Its description in RNAcentral is "tRNA.Ala". It matches the Rfam family "tRNA", at positions 5 to 66 of the family's 71-position model. From Rfam's summary of the family: Transfer RNA (tRNA) molecules are approximately 80 nucleotides in length. Their secondary structure includes four short double-helical elements and three loops (D, anti-codon, and T loops). Further hydrogen bonds mediate the characteristic L-shaped molecular structure. tRNAs have two regions of fundamental functional importance: the anti-codon, which is responsible for specific mRNA codon recognition, and the 3' end, to which the tRNAs corresponding amino acid is attached (by aminoacyl-tRNA synthetases). tRNAs cope with the degeneracy of the genetic code in two manners: having more than one tRNA (with a specific anti-codon) for a particular amino acid; and 'wobble' base-pairing, i.e. permitting non-standard base-pairing at the 3rd anti-codon position. Lineage: Eukaryota; Metazoa; Chordata; Mammalia; Rodentia; Sciuridae. The record is from RNAcentral.